GUGAAUCAUCGAAUUUUUGAACGCAAAUUGCACUCUCUUCGGCGAGUAUGCCUGUUUGAGGGUCAGCAUAUAAAAAUCGCUCUCGUUGUCGUCUCGCGGUGGCGUUUGUAGGAAAUUGGGUGCUCCUAACUCCUUUUGCUUUAAGCGACUUAAAAUUUUUUUUUGGUUCCAUGAACGUUUCUAAGUUCUAUAUCUUUACACGUUUCUGGUAUCGAUUUUUACUAGACGUGACUAUCAUAUCGGUUCGCGUCCAUAAUCUUUCAUUAACUGAUCUCAGACAGGUA
Molecule: unclassified non-coding RNA, 284 nt
Filed under: Glomus sp.
Lineage: Eukaryota; Fungi; Glomeromycota; Glomeromycetes; Glomerales; Glomeraceae
Description: partial contains 5.8S ribosomal RNA and internal transcribed spacer 2
Rfam family: 5.8S ribosomal RNA (bases 1-65)
Source: RNAcentral